AAGUCGUAACAAGGUCUCCGUAGGUGAACCUGCGGAGGGAUCAUUUGAGAGUACGCAUUAUGCGUAUUGAAUGAGCGAGGAUAUGAGGUGAACCCCGGAGACGGGGUUCGAGUGGCAGGUGUCCUACCCAGUGUAGGGCCCUGCCGUAUGAAAAGCCAAUGUUGCUUGAUGGUACGUGACUUGAGGUCAUUGUAUAAGGAAAGUUUCUACUAAGAAACCUAAAACUUUUGGCAAUGGAUCUCUUGGUUCUC
RNAcentral lists this unclassified non-coding RNA (251 nucleotides) under fungal sp. RNAcentral describes it as "partial internal transcribed spacer region". The stretch from base 1 to 46 matches the Rfam family "Eukaryotic small subunit ribosomal RNA", at positions 1786 to 1831 of the family's 1831-position model. Lineage: Eukaryota; Fungi. The record is from RNAcentral.